GGSGGGCUAUACAUGCAGUCGAGCGGACAGAAGGGAGCUUGCUCCCGGAUGUUAGCGGCGGACGGGUGAGUAACACGUGGGUAACCUGCCUGUAAGACUGGGAUAACUCCGGGAAACCGGAGCUAAUACCGGAUAGUUCCUUGAACCGCAUGGUUCAAGGAUGAAAGACGGUUUCGGCUGUCACUUACAGAUGGACCCGCGGCGCAUUAGCUAGUUGGUGGGGUAAUGGCUCACCAAGGCGACGAUGCGUAGCCGACCUGAGAGGGUGAUCGGCCACACUGGGACUGAGACACGGCCCAGACUCCUACGGGAGGCAGCAGUAGGGAAUCUUCCGCAAUGGACGAAAGUCUGACGGAGCAACGCCGCGUGAGUGAUGAAGGUUUUCGGAUCGUAAAGCUCUGUUGUUAGGGAAGAACAAGUGCGAGAGUAACUGCUCGCACCUUGACGGUACCUAACCAGAAAGCCACGGCUAACUACGUGCCAGCAGCCGCGGUAAUACGUAGGUGGCAAGCGUUGUCCGGAAUUAUUGGGCGUAAAGGGCUCGCAGGCGGUUUCUUAAGUCUGAUGUGAAAGCCCCCGGCUCAACCGGGGAGGGUCAUUGGAAACUGGGAAACUUGAGUGCAGAAGAGGAGAGUGGAAUUCCACGUGUAGCGGUGAAAUGCGUAGAGAUGUGGAGGAACACCAGUGGCGAAGGCGACUCUCUGGUCUGUAACUGACGCUGAGGAGCGAAAGCGUGGGGAGCGAACAGGAUUAGAUACCCUGGUAGUCCACGCCGUAAACGAUGAGUGCUAAGUGUUAGGGGGUUUCCGCCCCUUAGUGCUGCAGCUAACGCAUUAAGCACUCCGCCUGGGGAGUACGGUCGCAAGACUGAAACUCAAAGGAAUUGACGGGGGCCCGCACMAGCGGUGGAGCAUGUGGUUUAAUUCGAAGCAACGCGAAGMACCUUACCAGGUCUUGACAUCCUCUGACAACCCUAGAGAUAGGGCUUUCCCUUCGGGGACAGAGUGACAGGUGGUGCAUGGUUGUCGUCAGCUCGYGUCGUGAGAUGYUGGGUUAAGUCCCGCAACGAGCGCAACCCUUGAUCUUAGUUGCCAGCAUUCAGUUGGGCACUCUAAGGUGACUGCCGGUGACAAACCGGAGGAAGGUGGGGAUGACGUCAAAUCAUCAUGCCCCUUAUGWCCUGGGCUACACACGUGCUACAAUGGACAGAACAAAGGGCUGCAAGACCGCAAGGUUUAGCCAAUCCCAYAAAUCUGUUCUCAGUUCGGAUCGCAGUCUGCAACUCGAC
Molecule: ribosomal RNA, 1288 nt
Filed under: Bacillus subtilis
Lineage: Bacteria; Bacillati; Bacillota; Bacilli; Caryophanales; Bacillaceae
Description: bacterial SSU rRNA
Source: RNAcentral